This 256-nucleotide unclassified non-coding RNA is filed under the name Hevea brasiliensis (rubber tree). The record is from RNAcentral. Lineage: Eukaryota; Viridiplantae; Streptophyta; Magnoliopsida; Malpighiales; Euphorbiaceae.
GCCAAGUGAUCUUAACAUCUGUAGGAUGUGCAAUUUUUAGAUAGAGGAUGAUGGGCUUUAGUAUACAGGAGGCCCGGCGAUAAAAGGCCCGUUCAAAACUUUCCGGUGUUGGUUCUGAAUUUUCCGGAAGAUGGGUCAGAUAUUAUGUCCAGAAGGAAUCACAGGCAAAGAAAGACUAACAAACAUCUGUCACCCUCCCAUGCCACAGAAAUGGUCCCAAUCCAUAUAUGAGUUGCUCUUGCUUCUACAGAGUGUG